Molecule: long non-coding RNA, 422 nt
Filed under: Olea europaea subsp. europaea
Lineage: Eukaryota; Viridiplantae; Streptophyta; Magnoliopsida; Lamiales; Oleaceae
Source: RNAcentral
AAAUAAGUUAAAAAAUAAUAAAAUAAAAUAAAAUAAUCGAUCUUUACAUGAUAAAAUCAAUUUUAUUAUGGUGGUGACAAUCGAAGAAUCAAAAGAUUUGGAAGAAAUGACUAUGGAUUAAGUCGUGGACACUUUACAAGCUAAUGCUUAGAAGUCAUUGAAAAGGAAGAAAGAAUCGAUGGUGCAAGUCUUGCAAGACAACAAGAGAAGAAUAACAAAAGCCAAAGAUGCAGAUGAUUUAAAAGAAAUCGUGGAAGAGGAGAUAAAAAAUUUCAAUAUUGAUUCAAUACCAGUUUUACCAAAAUUCAGUUUAGAAAUUUCACAUUUGUAAUUUCGAUGAUAUAUUCUAAUUUAUCUUAUAAAGAAGGAGUCGCCAUUAGAGUUUUAUAUUACCAUAAAAAGCGAGAAUAACUAGAGAAAAU